Molecule: ribosomal RNA, 779 nt
Filed under: uncultured bacterium
Lineage: Bacteria
Description: bacterial SSU rRNA
Rfam family: Bacterial small subunit ribosomal RNA
Source: RNAcentral
UUAGAAUCCCCCUGGGUUAAGUCCAACCCCGGUUAAACCGGAUGGAAGUGCCUAAAGUGUUAAGGGGGUUUUCCGCCCCCUUAAGUGCCCUGCCAGCUUAAACGCCCAUUAAGCCACUCCGCCUGGGGAGUACGCCGCAAGGCUGAAACUCAAAGGAAUUGACGGGGGCCCGCACAACCGGUGGAGCAUGUGGUUUAAAUUCGAAGCAACGCGAAGAACCUUACCAGGUCUUGACAUCCCACUGACCGGUGUAGAGAUACACCUUUCCCUUCGGGGACAGUGGUGACAGGUGGUGCAUGGUUGUCGUCAGCUCGUGUCGUGAGAUGUUGGGUUAAGUCCCGCAACGAGCGCAACCCUUGAUCUUAGUUGCCAGCAUUUAGUUGGGCACUCUAAGGUGACUGCCGGUGACAAACCGGAGGAAGGUGGGGAUGACGUCAAAUCAUCAUGCCCCUUAUGACCUGGGCUACACACGUGCUACAACGGACGGUACAAAGGGUUGCCAACCCGCGAGGGGGAGCGAAUCCCAGAAAACCGUUCUCAGUUCGGAUUGUAGGCUGCAACUCGCCUGCAUGAAGCCGGAAUCGCUAGUAAUCGUGGAUCAGCAUGCCACGGUGAAUACGUUCCCGGGCCUUGUACACACCGCCCGUCACACCACGAGAGUUUGUAACACCCGAAGUCGGUGAGGUAACCCUUGUGGAGCCAGCCGCCGAAGGUGGGACGGAUGAUUGGGGUGAAGUCGUAACAAGGUAGCCGUAUCGGAAGGUGUGGCUGGAUCACCU